Molecule: ribosomal RNA, 252 nt
Filed under: uncultured bacterium
Lineage: Bacteria
Description: partial 16S ribosomal RNA
Rfam family: Bacterial small subunit ribosomal RNA
Source: RNAcentral
UACGUAGGUCCCGAGCGUUGUCCGGAUUUAUUGGGCGUAAAGCGAGCGCAGGUGGUUUAUUAAGUCUGGUGUAAAAGGCAGUGGCUCAACCAUUGUAUGCAUUGGAAACUGGUAGACUUGAGUGCAGGAGAGGAGAGUGGAAUUCCAUGUGUAGCGGUGAAAUGCGUAGAUAUAUGGAGGAACACCGGUGGCGAAAGCGGCUCUCUGGGCCGUCACUGACGCUGAGGCGCGAAAGCUGGGGGAGCGAACAGG